Molecule: non-coding RNA, 77 nt
Organism: Suillus placidus
Lineage: Eukaryota; Fungi; Basidiomycota; Agaricomycetes; Boletales; Suillaceae
Source: the annotation of a GenBank genome assembly
GUCCUGGUUAAGUGGUUACUACAACAGAUUCAAAAUCUGUUUCUCUUGGAGUGUGUAGGUUUGAAACCUACCAAACA